Molecule: non-coding RNA, 73 nt
Organism: Ameiurus melas (black bullhead)
Lineage: Eukaryota; Metazoa; Chordata; Actinopteri; Siluriformes; Ictaluridae
Source: the annotation of a GenBank genome assembly
GGUUCUGUAGUGUAAUGGUUAUCACGUUCACCUCCCACACAAAUGGUUCUUGGUUCAAAUCUGAGUGGAAACA